UUCCCACGGGGGGCAGCAGUCGGGAAUAUUGCGCAAUGGAGGAAACUCUGACGCAGUGACGCCGCGUGCAGGAAGAAGGUUUUCGGAUUGUAAACUGCUUUAGACAGGGAAGAAAGAAAUGACGGUACCUGUAGAAUAAGCUCCGGCUAACUACGUGCCAGCAGCCGCGGUAAUACGUAGGGAGCAAGCGUUAUCCGGAUUUACUGGGUGUAAAGGGAGCGUAGACGGCAGCGCAAGUCUGGAGUGAAAUCCCAUGGCUUAACCAUGGAACUGCUUUGGAAACCGUGCAGCUAGAGUGCAGGAGG
RNAcentral lists this ribosomal RNA (305 nucleotides) under uncultured bacterium. RNAcentral's name for it is "bacterial SSU rRNA". It matches the Rfam family "Bacterial small subunit ribosomal RNA", at positions 335 to 655 of the family's 1533-position model. The record is from RNAcentral.